GAUGAAGAACGUAGCGAACGUGCGAAACGUAAUGUGAAUUGCAGAAUUCAGUGAAUCAUCGAAUCUUUGAACGCAUCUUGCGCUCCUCGGUAUUCCGAGGAGCAUGCCUGUUUGAGUGUCGUGAAUACUCUCAACUUCAACCCUUUUUUCGGAAAGGGAGGAAGGUUGGACUUGGGUGUUUGUUGAAGUGCGAGCUUCGACUCAUCCUAAAUGCAUUAGCGAUCUGCCUCGAUCACACACAAUGUGAUAAUUAAAACUAAAGCAUUGUUUAAUGAUCAAGUCGAGACUGCUUCUAACUGUCGCAAGACAAUAACGUGCAUACAUUUGUGCAUGUCAUUUGACCUCAAAUCAGGUAGGACUACCCGCUGAACUUAAGCAUAUCAAUAAGCGGAGGA
Molecule: unclassified non-coding RNA, 395 nt
Filed under: soil metagenome
Description: partial contains 5.8S ribosomal RNA, internal transcribed spacer 2, and large subunit ribosomal RNA
Rfam family: 5.8S ribosomal RNA (bases 1-121)
Source: RNAcentral